Molecule: long non-coding RNA, 522 nt
Organism: Quercus robur (English oak)
Lineage: Eukaryota; Viridiplantae; Streptophyta; Magnoliopsida; Fagales; Fagaceae
Exons: 2
Source: RefSeq, a predicted model, not a curated record
UUCCAAAAAAAAAAAAAAGUUAGAUUAAUGCCACUUAGCCGAUGGCCAUAUAUUAAGACUCCCAUUAAGAAUUAAAUUUUAUUGGAGUGGCAUGGAAGUCUCCAAAUCAUGUUUGUAUGCAAUGCAAACUCCUUCACAGUAAAAGAGGUGCCAGCUUACUCUCCUAUAUACAUAUAAACCUAUUUGUGUUGAUUCAAACUAUUCUUUUGUUUCUACAAACACUUCUUUCUCAACCUCAAGGUCAUCAUAUGAGUCAUGGGCAAAUUGAAAAAUCCUUUCUCAAAGUCUAAUUUCUCGAUUUUCAACCGAUCAAACCAAGAAUCGAUCAGGAAUCAACAACUGUAAUUGAAGCAAGAAUCGGGGUGGAAUCAAAGCAUGCAAAAACUUCAUUUCUUGAGCUGAACUUGGGUUCACAGUCUUGAACAAAAUUAAGAGAAUUAAACUAUAUAUGACAAGAUUUACAUUGUUCAUAGUUUGCCAACAUUUCAAAUAUGAACCUAAUAAAUAUUUUUCAUUUCAAAA